UGUCCGGUGGUGUAAUGGUAGCACAAGGCUCUUUGGAGGCUUUGGUCAAGGUUCAAAUCCUUGCCGGACAGCCA
RNAcentral lists this transfer RNA (74 nucleotides) under bacterium. RNAcentral's name for it is "tRNA-Gln". It matches the Rfam family "tRNA". Rfam says of the family: Transfer RNA (tRNA) molecules are approximately 80 nucleotides in length. RNAcentral also lists the same sequence under 1 other name. The record is from RNAcentral.